AUGAACGCUGGCGGCGUGCCUAAUACAUGCAAGUCGAGCGAACGGACGAGAAGCUUGCUUCUCUGAUGUUAGCGGCGGACGGGUGAGUAACACGUGGAUAACCUACCUAUAAGACUGGGAUAACUUCGGGAAACCGGAGCUAAUACCGGAUGAUAUUUUGAACCGCAUGGUUCAAAAGUGAAAGACGGUCUUGCUGUCACUUAUAGAUGGAUCCGCGCUGCAUUAGCUAGUUGGUAAGGUAACGGCUUACCAAGGCAACGAUGCAUAGCCGACCUGAGAGGGUGAUCGGCCAUACUGGAACUGAGACACGGUCCAGACUCCUACGGGAGGCAGCAGUAGGGAAUCUUCCGCAAUGGGCGAAAGCCUGACGGAGCAACGCCGCGUGAGUGAUGAAGGUCUUCGGAUCGUAAAACUCUGUUAUUAGGGAAGAACAUAUGUGUAAGUAACUGUGCACAUCUUGACGGUACCUAAUCAGAAAGCCACGGCUAACUACGUG
RNAcentral lists this ribosomal RNA (496 nucleotides) under uncultured bacterium. RNAcentral's name for it is "partial 16S ribosomal RNA". It matches the Rfam family "Bacterial small subunit ribosomal RNA", at positions 29 to 507 of the family's 1533-position model. The record is from RNAcentral.